GCCCGGUUAGCUCAGCGGUAGAGCAAUCGCUUGAUAAGCGAUAGGUCGCAGGUUCAAGUCCUGCACCAGGCACCA
This 75-nucleotide transfer RNA is filed under the name compost metagenome. RNAcentral describes it as "tRNA-Ile". It matches the Rfam family "tRNA". Rfam says of the family: Transfer RNA (tRNA) molecules are approximately 80 nucleotides in length. Their secondary structure includes four short double-helical elements and three loops (D, anti-codon, and T loops). The record is from RNAcentral.